This 184-nucleotide non-coding RNA is filed under the name Dethiosulfovibrio peptidovorans. Lineage: Bacteria; Thermotogati; Synergistota; Synergistia; Synergistales; Dethiosulfovibrionaceae. The record is from RNAcentral.
AAAUCCAACUACAAAAUUGAAACAAUCAGCGAUACCCCUGGAGCAGGAAGCCGGUGAAAAACCGGCACAGCCCCGCUACGGUAAGGCCGACGAAGAGGACACUAUGCCACUGACCGAAAGGUCGGGAAGGCGUUCUCCGAGGAAGAAGCCGAGUCCGGACACUCUCCAGCCAGGUUCGAACCGU